RNAcentral lists this ribosomal RNA (1498 nucleotides) under metagenome. Its description in RNAcentral is "bacterial SSU rRNA". It matches the Rfam family "Bacterial small subunit ribosomal RNA". The record is from RNAcentral.
AGAGUUUGAUCCUGGCUCAGGAUGAACGCUAGCUACAGGCUUAACACAUGCAAGUCGAGGGGAAACGAUAUUGGAAGCUUGCUUCCGAUAGGCGUCGACCGGCGCACGGGUGAGUAACGCGUAUCCAACCUGCCCACCACUUGGGGAUAACCUUGCGAAAGUAAGACUAAUACCCAAUGAUAUCUCUAGAAGACAUCUGAAAGAGAUAAAAGAUUUAUCGGUGAUGGAUGGGGAUGCGUCUGAUUAGCUUGUUGGCGGGGUAACGGCCCACCAAGGCAACGAUCAGUAGGGGUUCUGAGAGGAAGGUCCCCCACAUUGGAACUGAGACACGGUCCAAACUCCUACGGGAGGCAGCAGUGAGGAAUAUUGGUCAAUGGACGAGAGUCUGAACCAGCCAAGUAGCGUGCAGGAAGACGGCCCUAUGGGUUAUAAACUGCUUUUAUAAGGGAAUAAAGUGAGAGUCGUGACUCUUUUUGCAUGUACCUUAUGAAUAAGGACCGGCUAAUUCCGUGCCAGCAGCCGCGGUAAUACGGAAGGUCCGGGCGUUAUCCGGAUCUAUUGGGUUUAAAGGGAGCGUAGGCCGGAGAUUAAGCGUGUUGUGAAAUGUAGACGCUCAACGUCUGCACUGCAGCGCGAACAGGUUUCCUUGAGUACGCACAAAGUGGGCGGAAUUCGUGGUGUAGCGGUGAAAUGCUUAGAUAUCACGAAGAACUCCGAUUGCGAAGGCAGCUCACUGGAGCGCAACUGACGCUGAAGCUCGAAAGUGCGGGUAUCGAACAGGAUUAGAUACCCUGGUAGUCCGCACGGUAAACGAUGGAUGCCCGCUGUUGGUCUGAAUAGGUCAGCGGCCAAGCGAAAGCAUUAAGCGUCCCACCUGGGGAGUACGCCGGCAACGGUGAAACUCAAAGGAAUUGACGGGGGCCCGCACAAGCGGUGGAGCAUGUGGUUUAAUUCGAAGCAACGCGAAGAACCUUACCAAAUCUUGACAUCCCGGUGACAAAGUAUGUAAAGUACUCUUUCUUCGGAACACCGGUGACAGGUGGUGCAUGGUUGUCGUCAGCUCGUGUCGUGAGAUGUUGGGUUAAGUCCCGCAACGAGCGCAACCCCUAUCCUUAGUAGCCAGCAGUAAGAUGGGCACUCUAGGGAGACUGCCGGGGAUAACCCGGAGGAAGGUGGGGAUGACGUCAAAUCAUCAUGCCCCUUAUGAUUUGGGCUACACACGUGCUACAAUGGCGUAAACAAAGGGAAGCGAGCCUGCGAGGGGGAGCAAAUCCCAAAAAUAACGUCUCAGUUCGGAUUGUAGUCUGCAACUCGACUACAUGAAGCUGGAAUCGCUAGUAAUCGCAGAUCAGAAUGCUGCGGUGAAUACGUUCCCGGGUCUUGUACACACCGCCCGUCACACCAUGGGAGUCGGAAAUGCCCGAAGCCGGUGACCUAACCGCAAGGAAGGAGCCGUCGAAGGCAGGUCUGAUAACUGGGGUGAAGUCGUAACAAGGUA